This 392-nucleotide ribosomal RNA is filed under the name uncultured bacterium. RNAcentral's name for it is "partial 16S ribosomal RNA". It matches the Rfam family "Bacterial small subunit ribosomal RNA", at positions 523 to 918 of the family's 1533-position model. The record is from RNAcentral.
AUACGGAGGAUCCGAGCGUUAUCCGGAUUUAUUGGGUUUAAAGGGUGCGCAGGCGGCCAUUUAAGUCAGCGGUUAAAUCGUGGGGCUCAACCCCAUUCUGCCGUUGAUACUGGGUGGCUUGAUUGCGGUCGAGGUUGGCGGAAUUCGUUGUGUAGCGGGGGAAUGCAUAGAUAUGACGAAGAACACCGAUUGCGUAGGCAGCUGACCAGACCGCAAAUGACGCUCAUGCACGAAAGUGCGGGGAUCGAACAGGAUUAGAUACCCUGGUAGUCCGCACAGUAAACGAUGAAUACUUGUUUUCGGCGAUAUAAUGUCGGAGGCAAAGCGAAAGCGAUAAGUAUUCCACCUGGGGAGUACGCCGGCAACGGUGAAACUCAAAUGAAUUGACGGGG